CGGAGGGUCCAAGCGUUGUCCGGAAUCACUGGGUGUAAAGGGUGCGUAGGCGGGCUUGUAAGUCAGAGGUGAAAGCCCACGGCUUAACCGUGGAAUUGCCUUUGAUACUGCAGGUCUUGAGUCCUGGAGAGGCUGCCGGAAUUCGUGGUGUAGCGGUGAAAUGCGUAGAUAUCACGAGGAACACCGGAUGCGUAGGCGGGCAGCUGGACAGGUACUGACGCUGAGGCACGAAAGCGUGGGGGAGCGAACAGGAUU
Molecule: ribosomal RNA, 255 nt
Filed under: uncultured bacterium
Lineage: Bacteria
Description: partial 16S ribosomal RNA
Rfam family: Bacterial small subunit ribosomal RNA
Source: RNAcentral